GAUGAACGCUGGCGGCGUGCCUAAUACAUGCCAGUCGAGCGAACGGACGAGAAGCUUGCUUCUCUGAUGUUAGCGGCGGACGGGUGAGUAACACGUGGAUAACCUACCUAUAAGACUGGGAUAACUUCGGGAAACCGGAGCUAAUACCGGAUAAUAUUUUGAACCGCAUGGUUCAAAAGUGAAAGACGGUCUUGCUGUCACUUAUAGAUGGAUCCGCGCUGCAUUAGCUAGUUGGGAAGGUAACGGCUUACCAAGGCAACGAUGCAUAGCCGACCUGAGAGGGUGAUCGGCCACACUGGAACUGAGACACGGUCCAGACUCCUACGGGAGGCAGCAGUAGGGAAUCUUCCGCAAUGGGCGAAAGCCUGACGGAGCAACGCCGCGUGAGUGAUGAAGGUCUUCGGAUCGUAAAACUCUGUUAUUAGGGAAGAACAUAUGUGUAAGUAACUGUGCACAUCUUGACGGUACCUAAUCAGAAAGCCACGGCUAACUACGUG
RNAcentral lists this ribosomal RNA (497 nucleotides) under uncultured bacterium. RNAcentral's name for it is "partial 16S ribosomal RNA". It matches the Rfam family "Bacterial small subunit ribosomal RNA", at positions 28 to 507 of the family's 1533-position model. The record is from RNAcentral.